This 3080-nucleotide long non-coding RNA is filed under the name Venturia canescens. RNAcentral describes it as "uncharacterized LOC122409391, transcript variant X3". Lineage: Eukaryota; Metazoa; Arthropoda; Insecta; Hymenoptera; Ichneumonidae. The record is from RNAcentral.
CUGUAAUUUCCGAUACGGAAGCGCGAAACGCGAACACAUUUCCGACGAGCACGGACUCGGCGCGACACGAGCGCGGUUCGAGGAAACACGAAAGUAAGAAAGAACGAGGAGGAAAAGAAAAAAAACGUUGGAAGAAGGAACGAAACGGAAGAGGAAGAAGAGAAGAAAAUACGAUCGGUUGACGUAUAGCUCCGAGUGUAUACGUAAUGUAACGAGGAGCAAUCGCGUUGUCGGACGACCCGGAGCGAGUACCGCGGUCGACAGCGAGUCGUGCCAGUUCUGACCUUGGCAUUGAACUUGCGGCAGCGCCCGAGAGAGAAGGGAGAGCCGAGCCGCACCGAAAAAGAGGGGGAAGCUCCCAACGCGACGCGAGCGCGGGGCUACGUAUACAGAUAUUUCCCGGUACAUACAUGCAACGCAUAUACUCUCGAGUUCUGAACGGAAAAAAAGAACAGAAAACACAGAGAUAUACGAAUGUGCCUCGGGGUCUCGAAAAUAAAGAAAAAAGUCGGCGGAGGCACAAUAUGAAAUUUCAUGCGGACUACGCCAUUUUUAUUCUCAGUUCCGAACCCAAACAAAACAGAUAAAUCGAGAGAGAGAGAAAUAAAUGUGCUGACGCGUAUGGAACUAGCGAGAUAUGGAUUUUAAACACACCCGUGUAUUUCGUCGGUAGAGAAAACGUCGCAAUUCGGGGGACCCAGAACCCGAAACGUAAUUACGGCUGUUAGUCGUCAGCGGUUUCCGUAACGUAGGUGGAUUCAAAUGCAGUGAGAGAGCGAUGGAAGUGGUGGAGAAUACACGUCGAGGCACACGCAUGACAGAAAGGCGUCUUCGUCUCGAGCCUGACGCAGUAUUUUUCGGGCCUUUCGUACAGUCGAAUAUUUAUUGAAUGAAUGAAAAAGGGGAGGGGCGGAUCGAGAGGGGCCCUCAUGACCGCAAAUACGAUGGAGUGGAAUAAAAAAUUUUAUGAAAUAGAAGUGAGCCUGUGAAAUUUAGUGGGUUACGCCUUUUUGCUUGCCAACUGCAGAUUUAUGUACGGAACGAGAGGAAGGAGAGAACGUUUUGCAAGGUGAAGCGGAGGGGGGAGUGGAGGGAAAUGUUGCGUCACCUCGCGCAAGCCUAAACGCCACGCGUCAAUACAGCCAUGAUACGCGCGCGCAUACAGCUUUUUCUACUGCCACCGAAAGACCACCACCACCGCCGCACGAGCACUACGAUCGGCCAUCAUCGGAUAGGACAGCGCGAACGCGGCUACGCGCAACUGUAACCUUCGCCGUUGCCUGUCGCUUCGAUCGACUCGGCAGAUUAUGCCAUAUAUCGUGCUUGCAUAUAAAUAUAUUUAUACACGUACAUAAAUAUAUCGGUGUACCUGGACUCCGCUGCUCACGUACAAACGUAUUUAUACACCUACGGAUAAUGCCUAUAGAUCCAUCGACGUGCCUAUCUCUUCCAUUUUUGAGCCAGCGACGAACGCACACUACGAGCUCGAAAAUUUAUUCGUACUUUUUUGUCUUAACCUCAAAAAUCAUGCUUUCGAUUUCUUUUUCUUGUCACAUGCUCUUCGAAACAUAUGCUAACGUAAGACGCUCGAGAAUACGUGCCAAAGUGCGCUCCCAAGUUGCUCGGAGAACGGCAGCGGGUUGCUUCGUCUCACGAAACUCUUGGAAAUUUUGGACAACAUUUUUGUGGACUGUUCAACGACUUGGAAGCUGACGCUGUGAAAGUCCGCACACGAUAAUGGCGGGAAGGGUUUCCCAACGAACUCGAUGGGAAAAUGAACAUUUAUAUUUUGCUAUUUUCUCCAUCACGCUCCGAACGAUAAAAACGUCCCGCGCUUUAUGUUUUCACGUUUUGACGCGGUAUUGGUUAACGAGGCUCACCGAACCGGAAACUCUGGGCAAACUUUCAGCCGCACACUAUAAAAGGGUCGAUUGCUUUUUCAGUGUAUAUCGGGGAGGAAAAAACGUUGACAAGUGACGCGAAGGCUUCAUAAAAUAUGCAGAGCAAAAUCGAUUAUUCCGACAAUACAAAUUUGUGAGUGACAACGAAAGUGACGACAUCUACCGGCGAAUUGUGGAAACUCGUCUCGCUUUUUUUUACUCUCGUGGAAUUCGGCAAGUGAAUCAUUCUUUGUGCUCUUCAUUAAGCACCCAAGUUUCAGCCAAGUUUUAUUCAGAUUUUUGCGUUGUUGUCAUUUUUAAAAUACAAUUUGUGACUCUCGUCAACGCAUUAUUGAGUGACGUGAAUUUAAAAAUUUUGUCAAACUUUCGAUCGAAAAUAAAGAAAAUUCCUGAAAAAUAUUUGACUCAACGGCUUCCCGAGACACUUGUAUAUACGCUGAACUCCAGCUGCCUCUUACGAAAGCACGUUCUUAUCGCUCGGCGAGCUGGUAAAAUAAAAACAUACAAGAAUGCAGCAAGUGGACGCUUUUGUUGGUUUGUUCCAUUCGACGCGAGUUCGGAGCAGGAUAAUUAUUGCUCGACUCUGGAGGGGGAAGGAGAGGAACUGAAAAUUCGACGUUAGAUUUUCUCGCUCGAGUGUUAAACGUUUUCUUCUGAACGAAUCGCCGAAUUUUCUUCACGGCUUUGCCAUCUCAUUGCUUCAAGACUUUGCAAUCAUUGCGAGUUGAACGAAAGUUGAAAUUCUUUCGAAAAAAAUUGGAAUUUUAAGUACUACAAAAGAUACUUGGAAAUGAGAAAUUCUAUUUCCUCUUACAGAAAUAAGUGAACAGCCUCGCAAAACACUUGGAAACUGGAUCCUACGAUUACGAUUUCGUUGUGUAUUUAUGGAAAUGGACGUAAGGACAGGGAAAUAUUGAAUCGGCACUGGUCGAAAGAUGUGCAUACGGCUAAACCCUGUUUGUCUGGACUCCAAUCCAAAGAGCUGACCGGCUGAGACGAUAGUGUGCUGUUUUGUAAUAAGCUAAGAUUCCCUACAACACCCUGGAAAAUUCCUUCUGCAUCUGCGAGUCUUCUUUUAUCAGGACACAGAGAACCUGCACCUCCACAAGUCAUGAAUAUGUCCCGAUUUUGGGGCAAAUGCCGGACCAACCAGACUGUUGAUUUGUGAGCCUUCAAAAA